This 4571-nucleotide long non-coding RNA is filed under the name Triticum aestivum (bread wheat). RNAcentral describes it as "long non-coding RNA (TAES_LNC010069)". The record is from RNAcentral. Lineage: Eukaryota; Viridiplantae; Streptophyta; Magnoliopsida; Poales; Poaceae.
GCGUGGCGUGGAUGCGUGAAGGCGAGAGUGGAACAGCGUCAGAAUGGGGAACGUGCAGCCUGGAAUUGUCAUCCACUUGCAAGAGGAGGGAUCGUUGUCUGUUCAUCUGCGUCGACUGGGAACGCGCAUGCUCGUCGUAUGGCGCCUGUUACGGUAAUGGUCUCCUUUUAUCAGUUGUUCUAGAUGAUGUCGUUUGAUUUUGGACCGAACAUCGUCGUGGCGUGGACCGGAUAUGGGCAGUGCAUGCCGUUCUUUUCUUCGUACGGAGAGUAGUGAGUGGUACCGCACUGUUGACAAGAACAUAGAGUAGAGCCAUCCAUUGCCCUUCAGCAAGCAGGAGAGGCAUAGUUUAUAAAUUUAUAAUAGGUAGUAUAUUGCUUUUCAUCAUGCUAAUUCCAUAUAGAGUAUGUCUCAUCUCCGUAUUGAGAAAUACUUCCUCCGUCUGAUUUUAUAAGUCCUGCUCGCAUUUUGAGUUAAACUGUCAAAGUUUGAAACUUGACUAACAAAAUAUAUUUUAUAUGUAACAAAAAUUAUAUUAUUGAAACUUUUACAAAUAUGCAUCUACUAAUAUAACUUUCAUGGCAUAUAACUUAUAUUCUGUUGAUUAAAUUGAAAAUUAAAAUUAGUACAAAUUAGGAAGUAACCAAUAAACCAGAACCGAUAUGCUAGUAUAGAUUAAAGUAAUUAUGUGUUUACUAUUUGCGUGUACUCUGCAAUAUUUGGUUAACUUUACAAGAUUUUGAUAUGAUAGUUUUCUGUAAAAACAAAAACAAAACUUGAUUUGGUGUUCAUAGAAUUUAGGGAAUUUCACAUAUGAGGUGUUUUCUCGAUUCCCAUAAAGACUUUCCCUAAAAUUUAUUUUUGGUGAUGGCACGGCUGGCGAGAGGAGGGGGCGGGUGGUCGACGGUGGCCAACGAUGGUGGUGUCAAAUGAAAUGAUUCCCGUAUAUAUUUGUGGACGUGUCCGAGCGUCCGAAUUCCCGCAAACCUAUGCCAAAUCCGAGGGAGGAUUGCACUCGUCCGGACUUGUGCACGUACUCGUCACCUCGCUUGGCCCCAUCCAAAGUCAUCGUCGUGGGUUUCGUACUAGAACGGUCUUCAUGCCGGCCUGACGCUCGAGAGCAAACGCAACUCGACGGCCUUGAUGCCAGUCAGAGCGAUGUGAGCAGGCUUCGAAUCCCUGCAUACUUGCGCUUUCCCGUGCCCUUGCCCCUGGCACUAGCACUAACACUCUCCUUGACAACUUUGCUGCUAGCUCUAGCGCUAGAAUUGCCGGUAGAUACAUUCACAUUAACAUUGGAGCUUCUUUGCACAUUAAUUGUAUUUCCAGAGAAGUUGUUGGACCUACUGCUACUUUUAGUUGGCGCCAUUCUCUUUUGGUUAGGUGCCGGCAUUUCCUCUGUGGCCUUCCUCUUGCUCUGCCUAGUGCUGCUCUGCCUUGAAGGCUAUAAGAAACAUGACAAAUGUUAGUUAUAUACAUGGUACUGUAAUCAGGUUUGUUCGUACAUAUUGAAUGGAUAGCUUAUCAUAUCUGGACCUUGACUAGCGCAUGGUGCUUGGCUGCUUGUUGUUGUUUGGCUUGCAGCAGCCUGUUUGGAAGCAGCUGAUGAUGCUUUGCUUCUAGCAGGACCUUGGCCUUGCACAGGAGGUUGCUGGGUUGGUGUAUUUGAACUCCCUGUGCCAUUUCUUGCUUUGCAUGAUGUCUCGUCGAGCAACACUGUAAUGCACUUUCAGAUUAACAAUGAUACUGUCUAAGGACAAAGUGCGCCCCUCGACAUGAGCAAUUUCCUCCCUGCCUCCAACAUAUUCCAAAAUUUGACCGUCACGCACAAAUGCACCAUUGAAAUGGAAUCUCACAACCAAGAAAUCCAGAGGAUCCAUUCAAUCUACAAGACAUGAAAAAACAAAAGAACAUAUCAAUUACUAGGGUUUCAGCAAUAGAAACACGCCGGCGGUGGCAGCAGCAACAUCUCGCUCUAGGUAGCAGCUCGCCAGCGGCUAGGGUUAGCAACAACAGCAACAACCUAAGGGGAACGGAGGAAGGAAGGGGGGAGGUAGGGAGAGAGGAAGGGAGGGGAGAGAGGGCGAACCUGCCGUGGUGUUGGGCCACGGCCGGUCUCCGGUCGCCGGCGGUGGAGGUGGUGGCCGCGGGCGGCGGCGCCCCUUGCGACCCAGGUGGCGGCAGGGUGGACAUGGGUGGGGCGAAGAGAGGAGGACCUGCCGGCGGUGUGGCGGCACCGCCAGUCUCCGGUCGCCGACAGUGGAGUUGGUGGCCGCGGGCGGCAGUGUUCCUCACGUCCCAGGCGGUGGGGGUGGCGAGGUGGGCUGGGUCGGGUGUGUGGUGUGGCGGUGAUCGAAAGAGAGGAAGGUGGGGAUAGGGUCCGAUUGGUGCGUGCGUGGCAUAGUGACUAGACUGCCCAGUCAGCUUUGACUGGGUCAAAACCGCUUGACCAGCUCCAAACUGAGUCAAGGGUAGUAAUCUGGACCCCGUGACAAGUUGAAGGUUAAAUAUGAUCUGUUUUAGAAAUCGGGAUUGAAAAUCAAAACACGUGGUUAGGUGAGGGUUGAAAUGUGGACUUUUCUCUAAAGCUGUAUGGUUACAUCCUGUCUUUGGUAGCUACACAGCCUGCAAGCCGUAGCUAGCUGUGAUGCUUUUUGGUCCGCCGAUGCAUGAGAGCAUCGCAUGCAUGAUCGGUGGAGAUACAAAUACUUAAUCAUAUCAGUGCCAUCGACACAAAUAGUAGGCAGAUUUUAUGAGAACGCUUUGUGUCAUAAAAUCGCUGGUAUGCUAUGCCUUAAUUCAACAUUAGGGGUGCAACCCGUGACAAGGCUUUGAUAUCCUAUGAGAGGCGCGACCCAUCACCGUUGAACAAUUUCAUCAAGAAACAACACAGGCGUCGAAGAUACGUUGGUCAGGUAUUAUUGAGAACGAAUUUGUUUCAGCAGUGUGUUCGACCGGUUAGAUUCAAUACAACUUUAUUUCAUGCGAGUUUCAUUCAGGUCGACAGUUACAGGAGAGCCAUCGGUGCACAUUUUUCAUGCUGAAAAGGUGAAAGCUGGUGCAUAUCGUCUGGGACACAACAAAAGAAGGUAAUGCGGUCGUGUAAGUCGCGAAAUACCCACAUGAAGAAACCGUUUUUCAUUUUCCUUUAUUCUGUUAGGUGUGUGAAAACUAUCUAUUUUGCUUUAUAGGAAUCUUAUUUUGGCUAUUCUAUGGUUGUGUCGCUUAAUGUCCCAGGUCCAUGUUUGUUUAUUUUUAGUGAAUGUACCAAGUGCAUGUAUUAUUGCGUCGGCAAAAUGUACUAGGUUCAAGUAUGGUUGUGUUGGCUGAAAGUAUCAGAUCUAAGUAUGAUUGUGUCCGUUGAUUGUAUCAGGUCCAAAUAUGGUUGUGUCUGUUGGAUUUACCAGGUCCAAGUAUGGUUUUAUCCUCUAAAUGUACCUGGUCCAAGUAUAGUUGUAAUGUAUCAAGUCCAAAUAUGACUGUGCUGGGUAAAUGUAUCAAGUCCAAGUAUGAUUGUGUCGGUUAAGUGUAUCAGGUACAAGUAUGGUUGUGCCGGUUAAACGUAGUAAGUUCAAGUAUGGUUGCGUCGGCUAAAUGUAUCCGGUCCAAGUAUGAUUGUGUCCGUUGAAUGUACCAGGUCCAAGUAUGGUUUUAUCCUCUAAAUGUACCUGAUCCAAGUAUAGUUGUGUCCGCUAAAUGUAACAGGUCCAAGUAUGACUGUGCUGGAUAAAUGUACCAAGUCCAAGUAUGGUUGCGUCGGUUAAGUGUAUCAGGUACAAGUAUGGUUGUGCCGGUUAAAUGUAGCAAGUCUAAAUAUGGUUGCGUCGGUUAAAUGUACCCGGGCCAAAUAUGAUUGUGUCCACUGAAUGUACCAGGGACAUCGGAAUUUGCGAUUACCACGAUAACCGUGAAAUUCUGGACGGAAUUUAUUAAUCAAAUUUUGAAUUCAAAUUUUUUGAAAUCGAUAUAGAUAGUUAUUUAACUCCUAAUUACCACCUACCUUGCCCUGGCCUGGUGGCUAUUCGACCGUAGUUGGCUCUUGCUCACUCGAGCCCGUGUUACUCCUACAAAUCGGCGGCUUUUUUCAAGUUUUGCAACCUCAAAAAGUGAAAUCGUGAGAGCCCAGAGUCAAACUGGCGUCUCUGAGCAGAGGGACGGUUCGCUUUACCACCAAGCCACACACAGUUAUGUUGUUAGGCAUGAGAUGGCCUAUAUUUAACUAUGCUGUGAGAGUUUGAAUUCAAAAAAUUUAAAUUAUUCAAGAUUUUUUGCUUGAUAUGAGUGUUUCUCGAGGGGGAUCGGUAAAAGCAGGACUGCGCGGAAGCUUGGAAUUUCGCUCGGUUACCAAAACGCGGGUUCCAAGUACAAGUUUUAGCCAUGUUAUGCCCAGGCGCAUCCACAGGAAUUUGAGGGCCCAAAUUUGCUAUCUGUGGCUUGUAGAUGCUCAUAGCACUUGUCGUGCGAUGGCAUGUGCUGAAUGUAUGAGGUCAAAGUAGUUGUAUCGGGUAAAUGUAUCAGGUCCAAUCAUGAUUGCGUCGGUUGAAUGUAUUAGGUUCAGGUAUGGUUGCGUC